GCCUCCAUAGUCUAGCGGUCCAGGACGCCGCCCUCUCAAGGCGGAAACACGGGUUCGAGUCCCGUUGGAGGUACCA
This 76-nucleotide transfer RNA is filed under the name Clostridiales bacterium. Its description in RNAcentral is "tRNA-Glu". It matches the Rfam family "tRNA". Rfam says of the family: Transfer RNA (tRNA) molecules are approximately 80 nucleotides in length. Their secondary structure includes four short double-helical elements and three loops (D, anti-codon, and T loops). RNAcentral also lists the same sequence under 1 other name. Lineage: Bacteria; Bacillati; Bacillota; Clostridia; Eubacteriales. The record is from RNAcentral.